CGGAGGAAAAGAAACCAACAGGGAUUGCCCUAGUAACGGCGAGUGAAGCGGCAACAGCUCAAAUUUGAAAUCUGGCUUUCGGGCCCGAGUUGUAAUUUGUAGAGGAUGAUUUUGAUGCGGUGCCUUCCGAGUUCCCUGGAACGGGACGCCAUAGAGGGUGAGAGCCCCGUCUGGUUGGAUGCCAAAUCUCUGUAAAUCUCCUUCGACGAGUCGAGUAGUUUGGGAAUGCUGCUCUAAAUGGGAGGUAUAUGUCUUCUAAAGCUAAAUACCGGCCAGAGACCGAUAGCGCACAAGUAGAGUGAUCGAAAGAUGAAAAGCACUUUGAAAAGAGAGUUAAAAAGUACGUGAAAUUGUUGAAAGGGAAGCGUUUAUGACCAGACUUGGGCUUGGUUAAUCAUCUGGGGUUCUCUCCAGUGCACUUUUCCAGUCCAGGCCAGCAUCAGUUUUCGCCGGGGGAUAAAGGCUUCGGGAAUGUGGCUCCCCUCGGGGAGUGUUAUAGCCCGUUGUGUAAUACCCUGGUGGGGACUGAGGUUCGCGCUUCUGCAAGGAUGCUGGCGUAAUGGUCAUCAACGACCCGUCUUGAAACACGGACC
RNAcentral lists this ribosomal RNA (593 nucleotides) under Fusarium graminearum. Its description in RNAcentral is "partial large subunit ribosomal RNA". It matches the Rfam family "Eukaryotic large subunit ribosomal RNA", at positions 51 to 667 of the family's 3401-position model. The record is from RNAcentral. Lineage: Eukaryota; Fungi; Ascomycota; Sordariomycetes; Hypocreales; Nectriaceae.